Molecule: ribosomal RNA, 460 nt
Filed under: uncultured bacterium
Lineage: Bacteria
Description: partial 16S ribosomal RNA
Rfam family: Bacterial small subunit ribosomal RNA
Source: RNAcentral
CCUACGGGGGACAGCAGUGAGGAAUAUUGGUCAAUGGACGAGAGUCUGAACCAGCCAAGUGGCGUGAAGGAUGACUGCCCUAUGGGUUGUAAACUUCUUUUAUAUGGGAAUAAAAUGUUCCACGUGUGGGAUUUUGUAUGUACCAUAUGAAUAAGGAUCGGCUAACUCCGUGCCAGCAGCCGCGGUAAUACGGAGGAUCCGAGCGUUAUCCGGAUUUAUUGGGUUUAAAGGGAGCGUAGGUGGAUUGUUAAGUCAGUUGUGAAAGUUUGCGGCUCAACCGUAAAAUUGCAGUUGAAACUGGCAGUCUUGAGUACAGUAGAGGUGGGCGGAAUUCGUGGUGUAGCGGUGAAAUGCUUAGAUAUCACGAAGAACUCCGAUUGCGAAGGCAGUUCACUGGACUGCAACUGACACUGAGGCUCGAAAGUGUGGGUAUCAAACAGGAUUAGAUACCCCAGUAGUC